CCGCCGCAUCCGCGAGCGAGAACGGGCCGUACAGGGGGCGCUACGCGCAGAAUCGCUACAGCGUGCACGCGGGGAUGUACGGAGAGAAGCCGCUGCUGGAUAUGGACGUGGAGGGGCAGAGCAAGGACGGGACGCGGCCGCUGAUGCAUCAGCCGGCGCUGCACGGUCUGCACCGGCAGCGCAAGCUCUCCCUGCAGGAGAUCGAAAAAGACUACCUAUAGAGGCGGCAGCAGCAGGCAGCAGCAGGCAGCAGCAAGAGGCAACAACCGGCAGUAAGCGGCAACAACUGGCAGCGGCGAGUUAAUUCUGUGUGCGGCCACGCUUGUUCGUCGACCGGAGAUCGGCUCAUCAUACCACGUCCAGCAACGCUCAUUCAUUCCACGCCCGCUCGUCGUGCUGCGUCGUGACGCUCAUUCAUUCCACGCCGGAUCGUCGUGCUGCAUUGCGACACUCAUUCGUUCCAUGUCGGUUGACAUUCGAUUAGUUGUCCCGCAGCAUGACGCCCAUUCGUCCCGCGAAAGCAUUUCAGCCGCUUGGUCAGUUGGCUGCAUUCCUGUUCCGUUUUCGGGAGCCGGGGAAUUAGAGGCAACUAUCGGACUAUUACCCUUGCUACCCUUCACCUCUGCGCUUCCAACAAAACUCUGCCCAGCUUUCUUCUUGCGCAGGAGGAGAAAAUGCAAUUCGAGGUGCUGGUGAGGUGUGGUGAUCAUACACACUGAGUAGGUCACACUGGGGGCAGCUUACUAUGGUUGUAUUUAAUGACACUUCUAGUGAAUCCCAAUUUUUUGACGUUUUCACAAGAUGCUGCACACUACGGAAUUUAAUCGUUGCCAUGGCAACAAAUAAUGAGAUUGUGAGGUGCGCGUGUGUAUAGUUUGUAAGCGCGUCGUCGACGGCAUGUAAAUAAUCAGCUAUAGCCGGCACGUGAAACGCGCGUGUAUAUGUAUAACGAAAAUAAGAUGCCAAAUUUAUACGACUAUGAUGUUGUUUGGAUAUGAUGAAGAUCAGUCGUAAAUAGAUGGUUGUGGUGGGAUUUUUAUUGUUACGCAUACAUAUGUAUCACACGUGUAAUGUGCACGUGCAUGUUACGAGACAACGAAUCGCGUGAUGGUGGGAUAGCGUUAGGCAUGUACUAUUGUUUAUCGUGCGCCAUCUACCAGUGGGGUGAAGUUCCCCGGCGAAUGUUCCCACCGUGUAUUCUCUAUACUGGUUUGAUUCGCGAACGACAGCAUUUCGAACGAAUUUUAGAGAAUGGUGUAUUCCGGGCAUCUACCACACUGGUUCAUGAACGACGUCUUUUUCCUUCAACUGACACCUGCUUUGCGUCUUGUUUCUCAUGCUGUAUAGCUUACGCAUACACGAUGCUAUAUGUUGUGCCAGUUUCUUCGAUUAUGUAUACAGAUAUAGAUAUUGACUGUGGUGGUGGGUACUGUAUGCAGCAGGACUGCAAUGCAGUUGAACACCACACGUGGCAGAGCGCUGCUACAACUAUUUCAUUUUCGUGAUCGCCACAGUAAAUGAAACUUAUGUGGUGGCAUGCGUUAUGAUUAAUAAUUCCAUGGCAGGCGGAUUUGCGCAGCUAUCGUCACUGCGUAGUACGUAGUAGACAUGGUCAUUAGGCAGCUCUCGUUUUGCGUUGAUGUGCAGGUUAUACAUUCCCCUCGUUUCACAUUCCGAUAUUCCCGGCGUACGUUUGCGUUGAUGUGCAGGUUAUACAUUCCCCUCGUUUCACAUUCCGAUAUUCCCGGCGUACGUUUGCGUUGAUGUGCAGGUUAUACAUUCCCCUCGUUUCACAUUCCGAUAUUCCCGGCGUACAUUUUUACCAGAAGUGUAUAAUAUAGAUGAUAUUAUACACUCCUGAUUUUACGGCAUCUCGUGCAGCUUCCAUUGUCAUUACCUCCCUGAAUACUUACCUCUCGAGUUGAUUACUGUACUACACUCUCCCUGGGUAACUGGUGAACACGUUCGAACAGAAGUUAUCUAUUGUUAUCUAACAAUUGUCUAUUGUGUGCAUCAGAUGUUGGCACGGGUGACCGUGAAAAGAGUGCCAUUGUUUUUCUCGGACAGCUUUUUUUUAUUUCUCGGGGAGCCAUUUUGUUUCUCGGGCCAUCCAUCAGUUGGGUUGACCCCCUGUGGUUGUUGUACAGGUGUGAUGUGAUAUGUGGCUAGUGGUGUGAUUUGGAAAGGUCCCGAUUUUGUCAAUACAUUCCUUGAUGGUUGUUGUGUUAUACUCCAUUUACAUUUCGCUAUGACGAACAAGUUAUGCAUUUUUUUCACUCUAGGCUGAUGCAUUUUCCUCGAUACUGUAACCUUUCAAUCUUAGAUUGAUUCCCGUAAUCGAUUUAUCCCAAAUUUAAGUGGCUGGUGUGACAAUAUGCACGUUUGUAUAUGUUCAGCAUUUCUCUGCUCUUUCACUGUGUUAAGUGUCCCGCGACAACCUUUAGCUUGAAUGAGAUGUAUCCUACGAGGCACCAAUCAGAAAACUGCUGGUCUUCUAAAACCUAGCGCAGAGCUGCAAUUUUUUCAUGCAGCUUGACAGCGAUUCUAGAAUCGCUGUAAAAAUUGUUGUGAAAUCGCUACGUCUGUGGGAACGUGCAACUGCAACCCGUAGCGAUUCUGGUCGCUUGCGACGAGUUGCAAGAAAUCAAACUAGUUUGGUUUUUGGGCAACUCAUCGCUCCCAAAAUGCUCUAGAAUUGCUUCGAAAUCGCCUGUGUGCGCACACGCGGUGACACAUCGACCGAUCGCUUGCGGUUGCAGUUUGCAGCGACGAGCAACCAAAAAUCGCAAGUCUGCGCUAGGCUUAAUCUUUUACCUAAUUCGAUGAACUCUGCCCCAAUCAGAGAAUGUGUUUCUACUGCGGGCGGUGUCGUUAGAUGUCUUUUUCGUGCGUAAAAACCGACAAGGGACGCGUCUAACCAGUAGGUCGUGCGACGUGGCAGAGUGGAAGUGCUAACUGGAGCACGUUUUCGUUAACAUGAAAUGGUCAACGGUUUCACUGUGAUGAAAAAACGUGAUUAUUUGUGCAGCUGACGCAGCGAGUCGUGCAUAAUUUAUCAUGGAUUAUGCAUAACUUGUGAGAAAUCCAUUCCAUUUCGUUACUACUUGAAGCAUGCGUUAUUAGUUCAGCGUUGUGAUCUAGCAGCUAUCUGAUAGUUGCUUUUCUUUUGAACUGAAGCGUUUUGUUAUCGUCGGUUUUGUUAACAUUCCAAAAUGCAUUUCGCCUCUUGUACGGGGGCUGUUCCUUUUACGUUUCAGAUUGUGCCACGAGGAAUUGCAAGCACAGCUUGGGAAUUCAGUUCCAUAACCGUGAACAUGUGUAUACUUGGUAGAUACUUUCAUGUAUGUGCGUGCGUGCGUGCGUACGUGCGCGCGUGGGUGUAUGUAUGUGUAGUAUGCGUGGGUUCAUGGUACGUUGCGGGCAGCUAUUCGUUAAUAAGCAUCACCAGUGCACGUUUGCUGCAUUCUCAAAGAGAGGCAGGUUGUUGAUUUUGAGGUUGUAGUAGGUACGUUUUAUUUACGAUGAUCUCUCAUACUCCGCACCGACCUGGCCAGCGUGUGUUCAUUUCAUCAGGUUUCAGGGGGGCUCUCGCGUGUGCGUGCGGUGUGUGCGUGCGUCUUAUCUGUUACUGGGCUCCUUAUUCAGUCUUUACGCUGUAGUGUUACAAACAGUCAAAUUAAGUACUGUGUGUGUUUGUGACCGUUGUAAUUAGAUAGCAGGUUAGUACGCAUUCUAGCUUUUUACUGUUGGCAUGUUUUACUCUUUUUGUUUGUUGGUAUCCCCACCCAGAAGCUUCUGCCACUGUUCGCCAAUCUGCAAAUGUAUAUCAAACUGACACAACUGAUACAUAAGUGAUAUGUUCUGUACAUUCCCCCAUAUUGGCUUGGCUAGUAAUCACUUUAUGAAAAUGUAGGUGGCGCCACUAGGGUUGUAGGUUUGAAAGUAUUGUGAUUACUGAUCAGUGGUACACAUCUAUGCUUGACAUGCAAUUGCAUGUUCACCUCAGCAUUUUAACCAGUCAGCACAUUGCCACUGCCCCCCCCCCAUCCUGUCUUCCGCUACCGGAUAGUGCCUUAUGUGAGUUUCUGUUCUGUGUACUACACGUCUUCUGUUCGAUCAUGCAAUAAUAUUCGGUAGGCUUUGUAUUUGUAUUUGUCGUUUUCUCCUGUUACUGUUGUAGUGGUGAAGCCCUUCCUUUGUAGAAACGAUUGCUUCUUGUAAA
Long non-coding RNA from Priapulus caudatus, 4222 nucleotides. RefSeq lists it as uncharacterized. The record is from RefSeq and is a predicted model, not a curated record. Lineage: Eukaryota; Metazoa; Priapulida; Priapulimorpha; Priapulimorphida; Priapulidae. The transcript is spliced from 2 exons.